Non-coding RNA from Triticum aestivum (bread wheat), 134 nucleotides. NCBI's taxonomy places the organism in Eukaryota, Viridiplantae, Streptophyta, Magnoliopsida, Poales, Poaceae. The record is from Rfam.
GAUGUACUCCCUCCGUCCGGAAAUACUUGUCAUCAAAAUGAAUAAAAGGGGAUGUAUCUAGAUGUAUUUUAGUUCUAGAUACACCUUUUUUGUCCAUUUUGAUGACAAGUUUUUUCGGAUGGAGGGAGUACUAC